RNAcentral lists this unclassified non-coding RNA (355 nucleotides) under soil metagenome. Its description in RNAcentral is "partial contains 5.8S ribosomal RNA, internal transcribed spacer 2, and large subunit ribosomal RNA". The stretch from base 1 to 120 matches the Rfam family "5.8S ribosomal RNA", at positions 35 to 154 of the family's 154-position model. The record is from RNAcentral.
GAUGAAGAACGCAGCGAAAUGCGAUAAGUAAUGUGAAUUGCAGAAUUCAGUGAAUCAUCGAAUCUUUGAACGCACAUUGCGCCCAUUAGUAUUCUAGUGGGCAUGCCUGUUCGAGCGUCAUUAAGUCCACUUAAGCCCUGCUUAGUGUUGGGAGACUGCUCCAGCGGUGCUACCCUGUAGCUACCCUGCAGCUCCUCAAAGACAGCGGCGGAGUUGUGGUAUCCUCUGAGCUUAGUAACUUGUUCUAGCUUUCGAGUACACCACUUCCCCUGCCGUAAAACCCUUAAUUUUUAAUGGUUGACCUCGGAUCAGGUAGGAAUACCCGUUGAACUUAAGCAUAUCAAUAAGCGGAGGA